RNAcentral lists this ribosomal RNA (468 nucleotides) under uncultured bacterium. RNAcentral's name for it is "partial 16S ribosomal RNA". It matches the Rfam family "Bacterial small subunit ribosomal RNA", at positions 28 to 507 of the family's 1533-position model. The record is from RNAcentral.
GACGAACGCUGGCGGCGUGCUUAACACAUGCAAGUCGAACGGAAAGGCCCUGCUUUUGUGGGGUGCUCGAGUGGCGAACGGGUGAGUAACACGUGAGUAACCUGCCCUUGACUUUGGGAUAACUUCAGGAAACUGGGGCUAAUACCGGAUAGGAGCUCCCGCUGCAUGGUGGGGGUUGGAAAGUUUCGGCGGUUGGGGAUGGACUCGCGGCUUAUCAGCUUGUUGGUGGGGUAGUGGCUUACCAAGGCUUUGACGGGUAGCCGGCCUGAGAGGGUGACCGGCCACAUUGGGACUGAGAUACGGCCCAGACUCCUACGGGAGGCAGCAGUGGGGAAUAUUGCACAAUGGGCGGAAGCCUGAUGCAGCAACGCCGCGUGCGGGAUGACGGCCUUCGGGUUGUAAACCGCUUUCGCCUGUGACGAGGCGUGAGUGACGGUAAUGGGUAAAGAAGCACCGGCUAACUACGUG